This 879-nucleotide unclassified non-coding RNA is filed under the name Hevea brasiliensis (rubber tree). The record is from RNAcentral. Lineage: Eukaryota; Viridiplantae; Streptophyta; Magnoliopsida; Malpighiales; Euphorbiaceae.
CUGCUGGCACCUGAAGUGAACUGGAAAAAAGUAUGAUGACAUCAAACCAGAGUUUGUAAAAAGGACAUGGUUUAGAUCACAUGAAUAAUAAGAAUGGGCAUAUUGACAGCAAUAACUAAUCAAGAAUAGCAAUUGGAGUUCAGCACAUAUCCUUAUUACUAUUCAAUUCAACCAGCUACAUGCUUGAUGUAGGACCUCACAACGCACCUCGCUGAAACAUAAUUCCAAUCACACUAUUGGGGUACUAAAUCUCACCCACUGAAAUACCUGAAGAUCUUAUCAAAACCCAUUGAGCCCAGGCAAAGCCACCAAGCUCAAAUAGAACUAUCUUGGCCUCGCCUAAUUAAGGCCCACCACUAAGGUCAGUCAGGCUUGGGAUUAGGGUUCAUAUAAGUCAUGCCCAAUCAGCGCAAUUAACAAAAUAUUGGUAUUCUGUAUUUUUCUUAUCACAUUGGACUAGGCUUGGGCAAUGUUUGAAGUUGCCAACUUGACUUAAGGUUGGCCUCAAUUUGAACAGGCCCAAUAGGCCUACCAAGUUCGCUUUAAUACUGUUUGUAAAAGUUCAAUGGGGUGAAAGCAGACAAAGCAAGAAGUCCACCAUGAUUCAUGAUCCACUACCCAACUUCUCCCAAUUUCAAUAUCUCAGACCAAAUCACUAUUGAUAUAAGAACUUGAUCCAAGAUCUUUUUGAACAUGCAUCUAACAUGGUUAACAUACAUCAGCUAAUUGCUGAUUAUAAGGAAUGUCGAUUAUUGACUCCUAACUACUAUUUUUCUGGAGCAAGUGAAAAUGUUACUGGCUGAUUUCUAAAUCUUCAGGUCUUUUGACGUUGAUAAGCAAUUCGGUGUGCAUUACAUAUGCAAUUUGGAAGAUACAAAA